ACCUGGUUGGCUUAGUUGGUGGAGCAUGUGACUCUUGAUCUUGGGGUCAUGAGUUCAAGCCCCAUGCUUGGUA
This 73-nucleotide transfer RNA is filed under the name Felis catus (domestic cat). It matches the Rfam family "tRNA". From Rfam's summary of the family: Transfer RNA (tRNA) molecules are approximately 80 nucleotides in length. Their secondary structure includes four short double-helical elements and three loops (D, anti-codon, and T loops). The record is from Rfam by way of RNAcentral. Lineage: Eukaryota; Metazoa; Chordata; Mammalia; Carnivora; Felidae.